RNAcentral lists this ribosomal RNA (200 nucleotides) under uncultured organism. RNAcentral's name for it is "partial small subunit ribosomal RNA". It matches the Rfam family "Eukaryotic small subunit ribosomal RNA", at positions 1462 to 1661 of the family's 1831-position model. The record is from RNAcentral.
CUGUGAUGCCCUUAGAUGUUCUGGGCCGCACGCGCGCUACACUGAUUGGGGCAGCGAGUCCCGCGCCUCGGCCGACGGGUCCGGGUAACCUCGCGAAACUCAAUCGUGCUGGGGAUAGACCAUUGUAAUUAUUGGUCUUGAACGAGGAAUUCCUAGUAAGCGCGAGUCAUCAGCUCGCGUUGAUUACGUCCCUGCCCUUU